RNAcentral lists this unclassified non-coding RNA (148 nucleotides) under soil metagenome. RNAcentral describes it as "partial internal transcribed spacer 1". The record is from RNAcentral.
CUGGAAUCGCAAGAUCCCACAACCCCUGUGAACCUACCGAAACGUUGCCUCGGCGGGUGCCCGGCCCUGCGCCGGGCGCUGCGCCCGCCGGCGGCCCCCUACUCUUGCCUCUGCAGCGUGGCAUCUCAGAGUCCCAGAAAACAAGUCA